RNAcentral lists this transfer RNA (59 nucleotides) under Cloacina communis. RNAcentral describes it as "tRNA-Phe". The record is from RNAcentral. Lineage: Eukaryota; Metazoa; Nematoda; Chromadorea; Rhabditida; Strongylidae.
UAUAAAAUUUCACUAGUUUAACUAUAAAAUAUAACUCUGAAGAAGUUAAGAUUUGUGAG